UACUCAUCACGAAUCAUGCAUUGCAUUGGAUGCAUACCCUCCACCAGGGGCGGAGCCAGGAUUUGAACAUAGGGGGGGCCGUGCAAAUCAAAAACAAUCAUGUGUGUCAAAAUAUUACAUGACAAAGGUGUACAUAGCACCAAAAUAAAUAUUUGCGACAAAAAAGCAGAAAAAAUAAAGAGAAAUUAAUUAUUCUCAAGCCCCUAACCUUUACCUGAUCAAUCUAUUUCUUUGGCCAGGAAAAGAAUCACAGUAAAACAAGUAGUUAAACGGGGGCAAAAUUAAUUAGUACUAGAUCCUAACAUCAAAUGACAAACAAUCAGUUACAUAUCUUUUAGCCUCAGACAAGGCGAUCACUUAAACGGGUAAAAUGGUCAUUUAAAUAGAAGGUUAAACCAAAACACCAUACCACUGUUAGUGUUUAAAAGUUGAGUACACGUACUUAAUGACCAUUUAGAAUUUAGACGAAUAAUGAUAGAAACAUAGGAGAUAAGAAAGAUAAUAGGAAGACUAAUGCUAAAUAAUAUAGAUCCCAUUGUUGGAGAUCAAUUCAAAAGGAUUCAACAAAAAAAAACACUGAUUUUCAAUUAACUAGCUAAUUAGAGUGUGU
This 610-nucleotide long non-coding RNA is filed under the name Sorghum bicolor (sorghum). Its description in RNAcentral is "long non-coding RNA (SBIC_LNC001176)". Lineage: Eukaryota; Viridiplantae; Streptophyta; Magnoliopsida; Poales; Poaceae. The record is from RNAcentral.